CUUAGAAAAGCAAGGGAAGCAGGCAAAGUGCUCCUAGAGGGCACAGAGAUACAACUAUACCCUGACCUAUCACCAACCACAUUGGCAUACCGACGGGCCUUACGCCCCUUUACCAAGCAAUUGCAGGCGUAAAAAAAUAAAAUACUGCUGGUGCUUCCUGAACAGACUCCAGGUCCACACGUCUAAGGGCCCCUUCGAAAUCAGGGAGAGAGCAGACAUGGACACUCUCGCAAGAGAACUAAAGAUCACGCCAGCUCACAUACAGUGGCCAGACCUCCUGACGCUCUACACACCCGCCCGGGGUCAGGGGAACUAGGCCGCAGGAUCUCACAUCCCGAGAACCACCCGCCAGCAGGCAACAGGCCCCCGAUGCCACUGACACAGCGGAGUCAAUUAAGGUGCCCAACCUAAGCACACAGCGCUUGACACUAGGGCAUUCAUCCCAUUCAUGAGAGACUCGCAUCCAGCCUGCCUGGCUUACUAAACUCUGCAAUGCCCACGUGACAGCAGGAGCUAAAAGCAUACCCCUUUAACAUCAUAUCAU
This is a non-coding RNA of Pelobates cultripes (western spadefoot toad), 544 nucleotides long. Lineage: Eukaryota; Metazoa; Chordata; Amphibia; Anura; Pelobatidae. The record is from the annotation of a GenBank genome assembly.